Molecule: ribosomal RNA, 234 nt
Filed under: Triticum aestivum (bread wheat)
Lineage: Eukaryota; Viridiplantae; Streptophyta; Magnoliopsida; Poales; Poaceae
Description: partial small subunit ribosomal RNA
Source: RNAcentral
AUGGCCAUGGCAAUGGCGCUGCCGGCGUCUGCGCACGUGGGAUCAAAAGGCCACACGCUCAUGAUGCAAUUUUUGCACCCGCUCCGGGCGCGGGGGCGCCAGUGGCCUUUGCACCAGCUCUGGCUACCCCUGCUGCUUCCGAUCAUGGGAACAUGGGCAGGAUGGCCGAGGAACUGCAGGACUUCGAGGCCGUAUCCGCCUCCAUGGCCCAGACGAUAUAUCGCCGCUCGGUGA